CCUACGGGGUGCAGCAGUGGGGAAUAUUGCACAAUGGGGGAAACCCUGAUGCAGCGACGCCGCGUGAGCGAAGAAGUAUUUCGGUAUGUAAAGCUCUAUCAGCAGGGAAGAAAAUGACGGUACAUGAGUAAGAAGCUCCGGCGAAAUACGUGCCAGCAGCCGCGGUAAUACGUAUGGAGCAAGCGUUAUCCGGAUUUACUGGGCGUAAAGGGAGCGUAGGCGGUCUGCCAAGUCUGAUGUGAAAUACCGGGGCUCAACCCCGGGGCUGCAUUGGAAACUGGCAGGCUGGAGUGCCGGAGAGGCAGGCGGAAUUCCUGGUGUAGCGGUGAAAUGCGUAGAUAUUAGGAGGAACACCAAGGGCGAAGGCAGCCUACUGGACGGUGACUGACGCUGAGGCUCGAAAGCGUGGGGAGCAAACAGGAUUAGAUACCCCAGUAGUC
RNAcentral lists this ribosomal RNA (440 nucleotides) under uncultured bacterium. RNAcentral describes it as "partial 16S ribosomal RNA". It matches the Rfam family "Bacterial small subunit ribosomal RNA", at positions 338 to 795 of the family's 1533-position model. The record is from RNAcentral.